RNAcentral lists this ribosomal RNA (230 nucleotides) under uncultured bacterium. RNAcentral describes it as "partial 16S ribosomal RNA". It matches the Rfam family "Bacterial small subunit ribosomal RNA", at positions 108 to 339 of the family's 1533-position model. The record is from RNAcentral.
GCGUAACGCGUAUGCAACCUACCUCUUACUGGGGGAUAGCCCGAAGAAAUUCGGAUUAACACCCCAUAAUAUUAUAUACUCGCAUGAGUUUUAUAAUUAAAGGUUACGGUAAGAGAUGGGCAUGCGUCCCAUUAGCUUGAUGGUAAGGUAACGGCUUACCAUGGCAACGAUGGGUAGGGGGCCUGAGAGGGUGAUCCCCCACACUGGUACUGAGACACGGACCAGACUCC